Molecule: long non-coding RNA, 460 nt
Filed under: Mus musculus (house mouse)
Lineage: Eukaryota; Metazoa; Chordata; Mammalia; Rodentia; Muridae
Description: long non-coding RNA chr14:43991713-43992173
Source: RNAcentral
AUGGGUUCAAAGACGCUUAAGUCCCAACUUUGUCUCCUGCUGCUUCUGGGACUUCUUCUAAUGCUUGUUUCAUGCCAGGCACAAACCCCUUCUCAGUGGUUUGAAAUCCAGCACAUAUAUAAUAGCGCCUAUCCCAGAUGUGAUGAUGCAAUGAGGGUCAUUCACGGUUAUAGCGGAGUAUGUAAGGACAAAAAUACUUUUCUUCAUACAACUUUUGCUAAUGUUGUCCCUGUGUGUUGCAAUUAGUGUAAGAUCUGCAAAGACAGGAGAAGUACAAAUGUCAUGAUAGUUCAUCUAAGAUACCUGUAAUAAUCUGUGAUCUCAUAACUUGGUCAAACCAACAUACACAUUGCAGAUACAAAACAACAGUAGCAAUGAAGUCCUACACAGUUGCCUGCAACCCCAGAACUCCACGGAACAGUCCCAGGUAUCCAUUCGUUCCAUGUCACUUGGAUGGGAC